This 1540-nucleotide ribosomal RNA is filed under the name Klebsiella aerogenes. RNAcentral describes it as "bacterial SSU rRNA". It matches the Rfam family "Bacterial small subunit ribosomal RNA". Lineage: Bacteria; Pseudomonadati; Pseudomonadota; Gammaproteobacteria; Enterobacterales; Enterobacteriaceae. The record is from RNAcentral.
AAAUUGAAGAGUUUGAUCAUGGCUCAGAUUGAACGCUGGCGGCAGGCCUAACACAUGCAAGUCGAGCGGUAGCACAGAGAGCUUGCUCUCGGGUGACGAGCGGCGGACGGGUGAGUAAUGUCUGGGAAACUGCCUGAUGGAGGGGGAUAACUACUGGAAACGGUAGCUAAUACCGCAUAACGUCGCAAGACCAAAGUGGGGGACCUUCGGGCCUCAUGCCAUCAGAUGUGCCCAGAUGGGAUUAGCUAGUAGGUGGGGUAAUGGCUCACCUAGGCGACGAUCCCUAGCUGGUCUGAGAGGAUGACCAGCCACACUGGAACUGAGACACGGUCCAGACUCCUACGGGAGGCAGCAGUGGGGAAUAUUGCACAAUGGGCGCAAGCCUGAUGCAGCCAUGCCGCGUGUAUGAAGAAGGCCUUCGGGUUGUAAAGUACUUUCAGCGAGGAGGAAGGCGUUAAGGUUAAUAACCUUGGCGAUUGACGUUACUCGCAGAAGAAGCACCGGCUAACUCCGUGCCAGCAGCCGCGGUAAUACGGAGGGUGCAAGCGUUAAUCGGAAUUACUGGGCGUAAAGCGCACGCAGGCGGUCUGUCAAGUCGGAUGUGAAAUCCCCGGGCUCAACCUGGGAACUGCAUUCGAAACUGGCAGGCUAGAGUCUUGUAGAGGGGGGUAGAAUUCCAGGUGUAGCGGUGAAAUGCGUAGAGAUCUGGAGGAAUACCGGUGGCGAAGGCGGCCCCCUGGACAAAGACUGACGCUCAGGUGCGAAAGCGUGGGGAGCAAACAGGAUUAGAUACCCUGGUAGUCCACGCCGUAAACGAUGUCGACUUGGAGGUUGUGCCCUUGAGGCGUGGCUUCCGGAGCUAACGCGUUAAGUCGACCGCCUGGGGAGUACGGCCGCAAGGUUAAAACUCAAAUGAAUUGACGGGGGCCCGCACAAGCGGUGGAGCAUGUGGUUUAAUUCGAUGCAACGCGAAGAACCUUACCUACUCUUGACAUCCACAGAACUUAGCAGAGAUGCUUUGGUGCCUUCGGGAACUCUGAGACAGGUGCUGCAUGGCUGUCGUCAGCUCGUGUUGUGAAAUGUUGGGUUAAGUCCCGCAACGAGCGCAACCCUUAUCCUUUGUUGCCAGCGGUUAGGCCGGGAACUCAAAGGAGACUGCCAGUGAUAAACUGGAGGAAGGUGGGGAUGACGUCAAGUCAUCAUGGCCCUUACGAGUAGGGCUACACACGUGCUACAAUGGCAUAUACAAAGAGAAGCGACCUCGCGAGAGCAAGCGGACCUCAUAAAGUAUGUCGUAGUCCGGAUUGGAGUCUGCAACUCGACUCCAUGAAGUCGGAAUCGCUAGUAAUCGUAAAUCAGAAUGCUACGGUGAAUACGUUCCCGGGCCUUGUACACACCGCCCGUCACACCAUGGGAGUGGGUUGCAAAAGAAGUAGGUAGCUUAACCUUCGGGAGGGCGCUUACCACUUUGUGAUUCAUGACUGGGGUGAAGUCGUAACAAGGUAACCGUAGGGGAACCUGCGGUUGGAUCACCUCCUUA